UAGGGAAUCUUCGGCAAUGGGGGGAACCCUGACCGAGCAACGCCGCGUGAGUGAAGAAGGUUUUCGGAUUGUAAAGCUCUGUUGUGAAGGAAGAACGAGUGUGAGAAUGGAAAGUUCAUGCUGUGACGGUACUUAACCAGAAAGGGACGGCUAACUACGUGCCAGCAGCCGCGGUAAUACGUAGGUCCCGAGCGUUUUCCGGAUUUAUUGGGCGUAAAGCGAGCGCAGGCGGUUAGAAAAGUCUGAAGUGAAAGGCAGUGGCUCAACCAUUGUAGGCUUUGCAAACUGUUUAACUUAAGUGCAGAGAGGGAGAGUGGAAUUCCAUGUGUAGCGGUAAGUUGCGUAGAUAUAUGGAGGAACACCGGUGGCGAAAGCGGCUCUCUGGUCUGUAACUGACGCUAAGGCUCGAAAGCGUGGGGAGCGAACAGG
Molecule: ribosomal RNA, 429 nt
Filed under: Bacteroidota bacterium
Lineage: Bacteria; Pseudomonadati; Bacteroidota
Description: Bacteroidetes bacterium partial 16S ribosomal RNA
Rfam family: Bacterial small subunit ribosomal RNA
Source: RNAcentral